Molecule: non-coding RNA, 212 nt
Organism: Solanum lycopersicum (tomato)
Lineage: Eukaryota; Viridiplantae; Streptophyta; Magnoliopsida; Solanales; Solanaceae
Source: Rfam
ACGACCUUACUUGAACAGGAUCUGUUCUAUAGGCUCGUACCACUGAAUUCUUGAAUUCUAAGGAGACAGGAAACCAAGUCUGGUUGAUGAAGCGUAGCCAUGAUACUAGAGCGUGAUUAACAGUCAACUACAGUUUCUCGAGCUGCAGUGGCAGUAGAUGAUCGUUCCUAGGCCCUCAGGCCUAGGAUGGUCUCUUGGUUGUCUGACAGACU